RNAcentral lists this ribosomal RNA (614 nucleotides) under Enterococcus sp. Its description in RNAcentral is "bacterial SSU rRNA". It matches the Rfam family "Bacterial small subunit ribosomal RNA", at positions 330 to 935 of the family's 1533-position model. Lineage: Bacteria; Bacillati; Bacillota; Bacilli; Lactobacillales; Enterococcaceae. The record is from RNAcentral.
CCCAGACUCCUACGGGAGGCAGCAGUAGGGAAUCUUCGGCAAUGGACGAAAGUCUGACCGAGCAACGCCGCGUGAGUGAAGAAGGUUUUCGGAUCGUAAAACUCUGUUGUUAGAGAAGAACAAGGACGUUAGUAACUGAACGUCCCCUGACGGUAUCUAACCAGAAAGCCACGGCUAACUACGUGCCAGCAGCCGCGGUAAUACGUAGGUGGCAAGCGUUGUCCGGAUUUAUUGGGCGUAAAGCGAGCGCAGGCGGUUUCUUAAGUCUGAUGUGAAAGCCCCCGGCUCAACCGGGGAGGGUCAUUGGAAACUGGGAGACUUGAGUGCAGAAGAGGAGAGUGGAAUUCCAUGUGUAGCGGUGAAAUGCGUAGAUAUAUGGAGGAACACCAGUGGCGAAGGCGGCUCUCUGGUCUGUAACUGACGCUGAGGCUCGAAAGCGUGGGGAGCAAACAGGAUUAGAUACCCUGGUAGUCCACGCCGUAAACGAUGAGUGCUAAGUGUUGGAGGGUUUCCGCCCUUCAGUGCUGCAGCAAACGCAUUAAGCACUCCGCCUGGGGAGUACACCCGCAAGGUUGAAAAUCAAAGGAAUUGACGGGGGCCCGCACAAACGGUGG